CUGUUAUCUUUUAUUCUCUUUUUUGUUUUGUAGAUCAGUUUCUUUACAGGUCGAGUGGGAGAGGACGAAUUACCUCCGUUGUGGGAUCCAGUUAAGACACCAGUUCAUCAUCUAGAUAAGCGACAUAAGCAACAACGUCAAAAAAAUCAAGUCAAAAAUUCAGGUUUGAUGCAUCCAACCUUUACCCUUGUCAUUGAUUUAUGUGUGUUGCCAUAUAUGAUAUGCAUUACAAUGAUGAAUUUAUAGUCCUUGAUUUAAACAUAUUUCUCUGCAUAAUGCCAUAUAUGACAUGCAUUACAUUGCUGAAAAAUUGACAUCCUGUUGAUUACAUUUUUUUAUUUGAUGGUUAUUUAGUGGUAAUAUGAAUUCGACAAGUGUGGAUGGAAAAAGGAUGAGGGAGGAGGAAGAUGAUGAUAUUAUGCUUUUCUUGUUGCCUGCAUUGCACCUCUUGGGUCCUAGUGUACCCAAA
This 469-nucleotide long non-coding RNA is filed under the name Hordeum vulgare. RNAcentral's name for it is "long non-coding RNA (HVUL_LNC009164)". Lineage: Eukaryota; Viridiplantae; Streptophyta; Magnoliopsida; Poales; Poaceae. The record is from RNAcentral.